CCGGGGUACCCCGCACCUCGCACUCCGAGCCCGCCCGGGCGGCGCCGGCUUCUCAGGGGGUCGGGCGGGGACCGUGGCCACCAGGCCUGUUCCGAAGCCCCGCCUCGGUCCUCUGAGGAUCUCGCGGGCUGUGGGCGGAAGCCAGCCGGGCAGAUGGGCGCGCCCCUCUUGUGCAGGCGGGGCCUUCCCACGCCUCGCAGCCGCCUCCGCCGUUUUGGAGCGGGAACCCAGGCGAGCCCGCCCACCCCUCUGAUGGGUUCGACCGAGCUUGAGCCAACGCGGCGGCGCGGGCCCUUGCGGGUGGGGAGGACCCGCCUGGGUCUCACACCUGCCGGCCGGGCGGCCCCGCGUCCUGGCGCCCCGGCAGCAGGCGCGGCGGGACCGGGCGCGAUGCCUGGUUUCUCCGGAGCCGCUACAAAAGGAAACUUUAAAACUUAGAUGUCCAGCGGCGCCAGACCUCCCCGAGCCUGGGCAGAGCCGGCUCCCUCUGCUCCACCCCAGCCGGGCCGGAGGGGGCAGCCCCGGGCAGCCGCAGGAGGACGCGGAGCGGGCCCCAGAGUGCCCACGGCCCACUUUUCCCCGACAGCCUCCGUCUCGGGAGAGGCCCACACGCCCUGCCCGCCACGGGGACAGCGGAGGCCCGGGGCGCCCGCGUCCUCGGAGCUCGCUGCCGGGAAGGCUUUUGCCCUCUGCGGGCCUCAGGUUUGGUGGCUCCCUUCCGGCUCCAGUGGAACCUGCCCUUGCAGAGCCCUGAACACACAGCAUGGCUUCAGACAGCCUCACCUUGUACCUGCUACCGGCUCUCCUUGGACUGUCACUCUACCCACCCCUACUCCACGAUUGCGUGAUAAACCCCUAUUCAGCCUUCAGAGCCCGCUUUACAGAGUCCCACUGUGUAGUCCAGGCUGGCCACAGACUAGAGGCGCUCCUCCUGCUUCUCUGAGGCUUCGAUCACAGACCCUGGGGAGAGGUGUGACAUCAACACCAGACAGAAGGUAAAAAUUGGAGAACCAUCUUGAUACCAGACAGCAAAGAGGACUCCGAGGCACCAGAGCCAACAUGGAGAGGUUUGUCAUCUAUAUGCCACCUUCCUGGUCCCUUCAGCUGGACUCAAAGUAGGGUGCUCUCCGUCCUUCACCAAAUCAUACCUAAGAGCAUCCCAUCCCUGUGAG
Molecule: long non-coding RNA, 1172 nt
Filed under: Heterocephalus glaber (naked mole-rat)
Lineage: Eukaryota; Metazoa; Chordata; Mammalia; Rodentia; Bathyergidae
Description: lncRNA (ENSHGLG00000045385.1)
Source: RNAcentral